CCCACGGGAGGCUGCAGUGGGGAAUAUUGGACAAUGGGGGGAACCCUGAUCCAGCCAUGCCGCGUGUGUGAAGAAGGCCCUCGGGUUGUAAAGCACUUUCAGUGAGGAAGAACGCCUGGUGGUUAAUACCCAUCAGGAAAGACAUCACUCACAGAAGAAGCACCGGCUAACUCCGUGCCAGCAGCCGCGGUAAUACGGAGGGUGCGAGCGUUAAUCGGAAUUACUGGGCGUAAAGCGCGCGUAGGUGGCUUGAUAAGCCGGUUGUGAAAGCCCCGGGCUCAACCUGGGAACGGCAUCCGGAACUGUCAAGCUAGAGUGCAGGAGAGGAAGGUAGAAUUCCCGGUGUAGCGGUGAAAUGCGUAGAGAUCGGGAGGAAUACCAGUGGCGAAGGCGGCCUUCUGGACUGACACUGACACUGAGGUGCGAAAGCGUGGGUAGCAAACAGGAUUAGAUACCCUAGUAGUC
Molecule: ribosomal RNA, 465 nt
Filed under: Vreelandella stevensii
Lineage: Bacteria; Pseudomonadati; Pseudomonadota; Gammaproteobacteria; Oceanospirillales; Halomonadaceae
Description: partial 16S ribosomal RNA
Rfam family: Bacterial small subunit ribosomal RNA
Source: RNAcentral